This 251-nucleotide long non-coding RNA is filed under the name Brassica rapa (field mustard). Its description in RNAcentral is "long non-coding RNA (BRAP_LNC000619)". The record is from RNAcentral. Lineage: Eukaryota; Viridiplantae; Streptophyta; Magnoliopsida; Brassicales; Brassicaceae.
UUCUUAAAGAUUUGCUCAUAGCAACUAUCGAAUUUGUUUUUACCAAAAAAAAAAAAACUAUCGAAUUUGCAUAAUGUCUUACAUUUAAUUUACUUUAUUUCAUCACCACUGAACAUCUACUACUUUUGUAAAUGGAAUUCCAAAACAAAAAAUAUAUUAAAAAUCUUCAUUGGAAACAAAAUUCACAAACGAUCAAAAAUCAUGCAAAUCUUAGACUUCCCUAUUUAUUUGGUUCAAAUCAAAACAUACCA